GAUGAACGCUGGCGGCGUGCCUAAUACAUGCAAGUCGAGCGAACAGACGAGAAGCUUGCUUCUCUGAUGUUAGCGGCGGACGGGUGAGUAACACGUGGAUAACCUACCUAUAAGACUGGGAUAACUUCGGGAAACCGGAGCUAAUACCGGAUAACAUUUUGAACCGCAUGGUUCAACAGUGAAAGACGGUCUUGCUGUCACUUAUAGAUGGAUCCGCGCUGCAUUAGCUAGUUGGUAAGGUAACGGCUUACCAAGGCAACGAUGCGUAGCCGACCUGAGAGGGUGAUCGGCCACACUGGAACUGAGACACGGUCCAGACUCCUACGGGAGGCAGCAGUAGGGAAUCUUCCGCAAUGGGCGAAAGCCUGACGGAGCAACGCCGCGUGAGUGAAGAAGGUCUUCGGAUCGUAAAACUCUGUUAUUAGGGAAGAACAAAUGUGUAAGUAACUGUGCACGUCUUGACGGUACCUAAUCAGAAAGCCACGGCUAACUACGUG
Molecule: ribosomal RNA, 497 nt
Filed under: uncultured bacterium
Lineage: Bacteria
Description: partial 16S ribosomal RNA
Rfam family: Bacterial small subunit ribosomal RNA
Source: RNAcentral